This 5142-nucleotide long non-coding RNA is filed under the name Homo sapiens (human). RNAcentral describes it as "HSALNT0409613". The record is from RNAcentral. Lineage: Eukaryota; Metazoa; Chordata; Mammalia; Primates; Hominidae.
CCAGGUCUGCAGUUGGAGCCCAUUGUGUGAGGCAGUCUGUGAAGGAAGUGUGAGAACCACCCUCAUGAGGAAAGCUGUAGAGGAAGAGUGAGGAAUGCGACAGACUCCCUGAAAGCAAAGGUGGAAAAAGAAUUCACGUGGUGAAGUCAGUGACUAAUCAGUAAGUCAUUGGUGCCCACUCGAGGUUACCAAGUUCUGGGAGAAGUUGGGUCAAGCUGAGGUAUUCUCAUGGGACAACAUUUAUCAGCUCAACAGAAACAGUAUAUAAAAGUGUUGAAACAGUUGCUUAAGGCUAGUGGAGCAUCAGUUUUGCAGGCUCAAUUAGGGGACAUAAUGCAAACUGUUGUAAUCCUGAGAGGUAAAACUGGCUGGGCUUUGGGUGGGGUGGGGACUUGGAGAACUUUUCUAUCUAGCUAAAUGAUUGUAAAUGCACCACUCAGUGCUCUGUGUAGAGCUAAUCAGGUAAGGGACUUGGAGAGCUUUUCUGUCUAGCUAAAGGAUUGUAAAUGCACCAAUUGGUGCUCUGUGUCUAGCUAAAUGUUUAUAAAUGCACCAAUCUGCACUUGCUAAAAACAGACCGAUCAGCACUCUGUAAAAUGGAACAAUCGGCAGGAUGAGGGUGGGGACAAAUAAGGGAAUAAAAGCAGGCCACCUCAGCCAGCAGUGGCAACCCACUCAGGUCCCCUUCCACACUGUGGAAGACCUGUUCUUUUGCUCUUUGCAAUAAAUCUUGCUGCUACUCAGUCUUUGGGUCCACACUACCUUUAUGAGCUGUAACACUCACCAUGAAGGCCUGCAGCUUCACUCCUGAAACCAGCAAGACCACAAACCCACCGGGAGGAACAAACAACACUGGAUGCACCACCUUUAAGAGCUGUAACACUCACUGUGAAGCUCUGCAGCUUCACUCCCGAAGUCAGCGAGACCAUGAACCCACUGAGAGGAACAAACAACUCCAGAAACACCAACUUUAAGAGCUGUAACACUCACUGUGAGGGUCUGCAACUUCACUCCUGAAGUCAGCGAGACCAUGAACACCUGAAGGAACAAACUCUGGACACACUGUCUUUAAGAACUGUAACAGUCACCGUGAGAGUCCAUGGCUUCAUUCUUGAUGUCAGUGAGACCAAGAACCCAUGGGAAGGAAUCAAUUCCAGACACACUUUGGUGACCACAAAGGGACUAUUGCCUAUUGCCAAGCAAAUUGAGGCUAUCAACCUAGAGAUGGUCUUACAAAUGGAACCCCAAAUGAGCUCAACUAACAGCUUCUACUGAGGACCCCUGGACCAACCUCCUGGCCCUUUCUGUGGCCUAAAGAGUUCCCCUCUGGAGGACACUACAACUGCAGCAUAAUUCUUUGCCCCUAUCUAGCAGGAAGUAGCUAGAGAGGUCAUUGGCCAAUUCCCAACAGCAGUUGAGAUGUCCUGUUUAGAGAAGGGAUUGAGAGGUGAAGCUGGCUGGGCUUCUCAGUCAGAUGGGGACUUGGAGAACUACUUUGUUUAGAUAAAGGAUUGUAAAUGCACCAAUCAGCACUCUGUGUCUAGCUAAAGGUUUGUAAAUGCACCAAUUAGUGCUCUGUGUCUAGCUAAUUGGGUAGGAGACUUGGCGAACUUUUCUGUCUAGCUAAAGGAUUGUAAAUGCACCAAUCACGCUCUGUGUCUAGCUAAAGGUUUGUAAACACACCAAUCAGCACUGGAUAAAAAUGGAUCAAUCAGCACUCCGUAAAACAGACCAAUCAGCACUCUGUGAAAUGGACCACUCAGAAGGAUGUGGGUGACACCAGAUAAGAGAAUAAAAGCAGGCCACCCGAGCCAGCAGCAGCAACCUGCUUUGGUUCCCUUCCAUGCUGUGGAAGCUCUGCUCUUUCACUCUUUGCAAUAAAUCUUGCUGCUUCUCGCUCUUUGGGUCCGCACUACCUUUAGGAGCUAUAACACUCACUGUGAAGGUCUGCAUCUUCUUCUUGAAGACAGCAAGACCAAUAACCCACUGGAAGGAAUCAAUUCUGGACACAAUCCCAAGAUCAUGGUUCCCAGAAAAAGGAACACUGGAUGUAGUACUCUGAGAACAAGUGGGGAUAAAUCUUCAACAUCAGACACAAAGGCAACAGGUCCCAGCUGUUAUGGGCUUUCAUUACAGCAGCCCUGUCUCCAUUAUACACAGAACAGACUAUAAAGGGGAACGAGGAGGAAAUGUCACCUGCCUUAUCACCUCCUCUUCCGUCAGCCCUAAUAUUACUGAGCCAAAAUAACAAAGAAGAAACAGAUAUUUUACCUGAGCCUUUUUCUUCAAUACGUAAGAAAAAGGACCAGGAAUACCCUCCAGUUAUUAGUCCCUGUCUUCAGCUGGCAGCAAUAAAAGGAGAGUUAUUAGCCUGCCCGGUAAUGCAAAAUCAGCCAAGUAAUCAGGUACAUAAAGGGUUAAGAAUAAUCACUAAAAGCCAGAGCCACAGGGCCAGGACAAGGAAGCAGUAAGUAGAAAGAAAAACUCCACCCACACUGUGACAGAAGCAACAAAGAGCCAAGCUGCAGCCAGAGCUAGCCUGCUGCGAGUGGAACAGAAGCACACGUGACAAAUUCCACCCAGGCCACAUGUGUCCCACAGCUGGGGAAGGGAGCCAGCACAGGCAAAAAAUGGCACAGGCAAAAAUGGCGACUUUAUAAAUGUAAAGCAGUCACAGCGCCGGGACCUGCCUGCUCCUUUCUCUAACUCCACAGGCUAUCCAAGACAAAAUCUCAUGUGCUGCUUGUUUACAAGCAACAUCACAGAUUAUAGUUCUCAGCUAAAAUUUAAGUAAAAUGUAAGAAUUAGAAAACCUCUUUCUAAUAACCUCCACUGUUGUCAUCUCUCUUCCACCCUGAUGAAGCUCACCAAAUUCAAGUAAAACAGUAACGUUUAAAGGUUGAGACAUUACAAACAACCCAUGAGUUAGUUUAGAAGUAGUUAAAAGCAAACUUUGUUUUUUAACUAGUAGAAAAAAAAUUCCUGAUUACAUGAUUAUUCAUUUUAUGGAUGAUAUUUUACUAGCAGCCCCAACGGAGCCAAUACCUUUAAAUUUGUUUACCUCUGUCAUAAGGAAUACACAACUGAAAAGUUUAGUCACUGCACCUGAAAAAGUACCCAUGUUCCCUCCUUGAAAAUAUCUUGGAUAUCUGUUAAUCUCCUGGUCAGUAAGACCUCAAAAGUUUAACCUAAGUACUAACAACUUACACACAUUAAAUGAUUAGCAGAAAUUAUUGGACAAUGUUACCUGGAUUUCUCCCAUUGUUGGAAUUCCUACCAAUAAACUACAAAACCUGUUCUCUAUCUUAAAGGGCAACCCAGCCCUCAAUUCUCCCAGAUAUUUAACCCUUGCAGCAAAAAGGGAAAUCAAGGAAAUUGAGCAAGCCGUCUUUCAAAGGAAGCUAGAUCGCAUUGAUCCACCGUAUUCCAAUCAGCUAUUUAUUUUUUCCACCUAACACUCCCCUACAGGGUUACUAGGACAAAUGACUCCCAGGCUAUGUUUCCUAGAAUGGGUUUUUUGCCCCCAUACCGGGACUAAAACACUGUCUCCUUAUACUCAGUUAAUUACUAAAGUCAUCUAUUCAGGUCACAAACGUUAAAAAUCAGUUGCGACAUAACCGAUAUCAUCAUGAUUCCUUUAAGUAAAGAGCAAUUCAAAGCUUCAUUAUCUUUGUCAAUACACCCACAAAUAGUUUUAUCUCAUUACACAGAGCAAAUAAAGCACAUCCUCCCUGCUGAUAAAGUCUUUCAUUUCUUAUCUCAUACUCCGGUAAUAAUGCCUACAAAAAGAGUUUACUCCCCUGUAACUAAUGCUUUAACACGGUUUACUGAUGGGUCCGCAAACAUGGAAAAGCAGCAGUCUGGUAGAGACCAUAUAAUUCAAUCAUGCAAUCUGAGUUUACUAGCAAACAGAAAGCUAAGGUUACUCUGUUUAUUUAUUAAAGAAGUUUUACAGCCUUAACUCUAUUCUGGAGCCAGGACGGUUUACUCUUUCUCCAACUUCAGCAAUUGGCUAGAUCAACAUACAAGUCCCAUUUUUAUUACACAUAUUUGAGCCCACAGCUUACUUCCUAGCCCAUUGGCUUAUGAGCAGUGAUCAAGCAAACCUACAGGUUAAGCCAUCACUGCUAGACCAAGCCACCCAAUCGCAUGAAUUUUUCCAUCCAAAUUGAAGAAACUUAUCAACUUACUCAGAGACUGGCUAAAUAAAUUAUCCUACAAUGCCCAGAUUGCCAGCUCACAGGUAAGUCCCCUCCUUCAACAGGUGUUAACCCUAGGGAAACAGAACUUAACCUGCUAUAGCAAACAGAUGUUACACCCAUACUUGAAUUUGGAAAACUUAGAUAUGUACAAGUAUCUAUUGAUACCAACACUCAUUUAAUUGCUGUCCAAGAUCAGAGAGAAACAGAAAGGUUAAAGAGAGAAAUAGAGGGGAAAAAAAAGAAAGACUAGAAAAACCAGAGGUCAAAGUCACAAAAAGUAAGACAAAGAAAAGACAUAAAGAGAAAGAAAUGUUAAGAAAGUUAUAACCAUUAGACUGCACCUUUAUUAAGGAAGGUUAUGAAAGAAAUAAAGUUAAGGCAUGUUGAAAAUUGUCUGUGGAAGUCAUAAAAACAUUAUAAAAAGAAAACUAUUCAGGACAUGUUGUAUAAUUUUGUUUUGAAAGUCUAAGCAAGUUUUAAAAUGUUAAUUGUUAACAAAAUUCUCUGAGUAAACAUAUUGACUAAAGUUAAAGAUGUGUCAUCCAACAAUCAUAGACUGGAUUAAGAAAAUGUGGCACAUACACACCAUGGAAUACUAUGCAGCCAUAAAAAAUGAUGAGUUCAUGUCCUUUGUAGGGACAUGGAUGAAAUUGGAAAUCAUCAUUCUCAGUAAACUAUCGCAAGAACAAAAAACCAAACACCGCAUAUUCUCACUCAUAGGUGGGAAUUGAACAAUGAGAGCACAUGGACACAGGAAGGGGAACAUCACACUCUGGGGCCUGUUGUGGGGUGGGGGGAGGCGGGAGGGAUAGCAUUGGGAGAUAUGCCUAAUGCUAGAUGAUGAGUUAGUGGGUGCAGCACACCAGCAUGGCACAUGUAUACAUAUGUAACUAACCGGCACAUUGUGCACAUGUACCCUAAAACUUAAAGUACAAUAAUA